Molecule: ribosomal RNA, 484 nt
Filed under: uncultured bacterium
Lineage: Bacteria
Description: partial 16S ribosomal RNA
Rfam family: Bacterial small subunit ribosomal RNA
Source: RNAcentral
AUUGAACGCUGGCGGCAGGCCUAACACAUGCAAGUCGAGCGGAUGAAGGGAGCUUGCUCCUGGAUUCAGCGGCGGACGGGUGAGUAAUGCCUAGGAAUCGGCCUGGUAGUGGGGGAUAACGUCCGGAAACGGGCGCUAAUACCGCAUACGUCCUGAGGGAGAAAGUGGGGGAUCUUCGGACCUCACGCUAUCAGAUGAGCCUAGGUCGGAUUAGCUAGUUGGUGGGGUAAAGGCCUACCAAGGCGACGAUCCGUAACUGGUCUGAGAGGAUGAUCAGUCACACUGGAACUGAGACACGGUCCAGACUCCUACGGGAGGCAGCAGUGGGGAAUAUUGGACAAUGGGCGAAAGCCUGAUCCAGCCAUGCCGCGUGUGUGAAGAAGGUCUUCGGAUUGUAAAGCACUUUAAGUUGGGAGGAAGGGCAGUAAGUUAAUACCUUGCUGUUUUGGCGUUACCAACAGAAUAAGCACCGGCUAACUUCGUG